UUGAACGCUGGCGGCAUGCCUUACACAUGCAAGUCGAACGGUAGAGGGGCAACCCUUGAGAGUGGCGAACGGGUGAGUAAUAUAUCGGAACGUGCCCAGUCGUGGGGGAUAACGCAGCGAAAGCUGCGCUAAUACCGCAUACGAUCUAAGGAUGAAAGCGGGGGAUCGCAAGACCUUCGCGCGAUUGGAGCGGCCGAUAUCAGAUUAGGUAGUUGGUGGGGUAAAAGCCUACCAAGCCGACGAUCUGUAGCUG
RNAcentral lists this ribosomal RNA (253 nucleotides) under uncultured bacterium. RNAcentral's name for it is "partial 16S ribosomal RNA". It matches the Rfam family "Bacterial small subunit ribosomal RNA", at positions 30 to 289 of the family's 1533-position model. The record is from RNAcentral.